CGCACUUUUUUCCCUCCAUUUCUGGGAAGCCCUGGGUUUCAGCUGCAUUGCUCGUCGGGAGGAAGGCGCUGGGCUGAGCGACUGUGCGGAUCGAAUGUAGCUGCUCACCCCUUGAUUUCGAGCGGCCGUGCAGCUUCUAUGGAGUAAGAUUUGGGCUGAGAUCAGCUAGGGUUUUCAGGGCAGUGAUUUUCCUCGGCUUUAGCUUCAACAUGCUACGAACUCAUGAAUAGGAGGAAAUGCGGAUCAAAUGAUGGAGCGGUAGAAACAAAUUUACAUCAAGUUUUGCAGAAGCUUGAGAGCUUAUCCACGUCGAAGAAUCGUGGCUUCUUUUACUCGUUGCCUGGGCAGCGGCCGCAUUUAUCUCGGAUCUCUAUGGCAUGCGUGAUUCAACCCGUCGAUGCGAAUCAUUCUCAAGCGGCUUCGAAGGUGUGGAAAAGCUUAGCUGCGACACACAUUGACUACGUCAGGCCUGGGAUUAGUGCGCCGGUUAUCGAUUCUUCGAGUAAUAUUUGUCGAAAGCCCUUGACUUCGGCCGCAUUGCCUUCACAGAACCAGACGGUAUCUCAGCGCGGUCCGAUAGUUGUUGAACAAACUCACGGGAAGUCGGGGGCUGUCUCUAAACAUAGUGCUACUACAUGUGACUCUUUUGUGGACGAUGACUUUCUCGAGGAUAUUGAUCUUGAUCAGAUUGUCUCAGAACAUUAUGUGAAGAGCGGCCAACUUAGUGCCACGCCUGAAGGAUUCCAAACAACGCAAUCAGCUCCUGCCGUUUUUGGUGGCACCCAUGCAGGAGCUGGUGCGCAGUUUGCGAUUCCGCAUACAGGUCCCAUACUUUUGGACACGCCACCUUCAGGGUAUCCUGCCACUGCUUCGUCGACGAUUUGUUUGGACACGCCACCAUCGAAUACCGGCCCUCGAGAUUAUAGACGGGAAAACUUUUCUGAAACCCAUCAUAUCCAGAGGCAGUGGUCCAGUCCACCAUCGGCUCAGUUCUGUCAACCAUAUCCUCCUAGCGAAGAAAAUCAUAUUCACAGGCAAUGGUCUACGCCCCAGUCUGUGCAACCAUAUGCUUUUGAUGGACGUUUAUCGUUGACCACGCCGCAAUCCCGUGAUUACGUUCGACAGAAUUUUUCCGAGGUGAAUUAUGUCGAAGGUGCUAACGACAGACAGUGGUCUCGAAGUGAUUUUCCUUGGAGCAUGGAUUUGAAGGCGAACAACAGAAGAUAUUUUGGUAACAAGUCCUUCAGGCCAAAUCAGCAUGAAAUAAUCAAUGCAACCAUGAGCGGUCAUGACGUCUUUGUGCUCAUGCCGACUGGCGGAGGAAAGAGCCUUACGUAUCAGCUUCCAGCUAUUUGCUGCCCGGGUGUGACUCUGGUAGUCUGUCCUCUUGUCUCUCUUAUCAUGGACCAAAUAAUGCAUCUCUCACAGGCCAGCAUUCGAGCCGAACACCUAAGCUCAAACCUGGAAUACGAAGAGCAAAGGCAAAUCUUGCAGCAGCUUAAUUUUGACCAUUGCGAAUACCGUCUGCUAUAUGUGACGCCUGAGAAAAUUGCAAGAAGCGAUAAUCUACUGAGGAACUUGGAGAACUUGCACAGGAGAAGACUCUUGGCACGUAUUGUCAUCGACGAGGCACAUUGUGUCAGCCAGUGGGGUCAUGACUUUCGUCCAGAUUACCAGAAUUUAGGCAUUUUGAAGCAAAAAUUCCCGGACGUACCACUGAUGGCACUUACAGCUACUGCUACAAUGAGAGUCAAAGAAGACGUAGUUCAAGCUCUUGGUCUCUGCAAAUGCAUAAUUUUCCGGCAAACCUUCAACAGACCGAACUUAAGGUACUCAGUCGUACCAAAAACAAAGAAAGUCUACGAAGAGAUUGACGCUUUCAUCAAAGAAAACUAUCCUCAUGAAUCUGGUAUAAUUUAUUGCUUUUCAAAGAUGGAUUGCGAGAGAGUUUGCGAACAGCUUCGGAAAACCGGUCACAAAAUUGGUUUCUACCAUGCUAGCAUGGAUCCACAAGAAAGGAACAGGGUGCAACGUAUGUGGAGUAAGGACGAAAUCAAUAUAAUCUGUGCCACUGUGGCAUUCGGCAUGGGUAUCAACAAGCCAGAUGUAAGAUUCGUCAUACAUCAUUCUAUUCCAAAAUCAAUUGAAGGCUAUCACCAGGAAUCCGGUCGUGCUGGACGAGACAAUCUUCCAGCUUCUUGUAUUCUUUACUACAGCUAUAGUGACUAUGUUCGGGUAAAGCAUUUACUUUCUCAAGGAGCUGUCGAUCAGACUUCUACUGGACGUAGCUGGAACAAUUCUGACACUGCGAAUCAACUGAAAACAAACUUUGACAAUCUUCAAAGGAUGGGUGCUUACUGCGAAAACGAGGUGGAUUGUCGGAGAUCUCUUCAACUUGGUCAUUUUGGUGAAAAAUUUGACAGCGCAUCUUGCAAAAGCACUUGCGAUAACUGCUCCAAAGCUGUAAGUUUUGUCGAAGAAGAUAUGACUCCAGUUUGCCAGCAGCUUGUGCAGCUCAUCAAUGGUCUUGGCCAAAGCUUCACCAUGUCGCAUGUUAUAGAUGUUUUUCGAGGUUCCAUGAGCCAGCAGGUUAAAAACGCUAAUCAUCAUCUGCAAGAGCUCCACGGGGCAGGAAAGAGUUUAAACAAAAGUGUCGUAGAAAGGAUAUUGCAUCGACUGGUGUUUGAUGAGGUAUUGAAGGAGAACAUCAACAAAAGCGAUACAUUUGGCUCUAUUUCCUCAAUCUUAAAGGUUAACGACUACAAAGCACGGGAACUAUUUGAUGGAGUGUGCAAAAUCGUGAUGAAGUUUCCUGCUGUGAAAAAAGCUGACAAACCCGAACGCACUCCCGUGUCGACUAAAAAAGCACCUCUGGCGACAAAGCUAUCUGAUCCAGAAGAUGGACUUUCGUCUUCGAGUUCGGUCUCACCCGCAAUUUCGAUGGAAGUUUAUUCUGCUCUUCAAAAGUUACGAACGGAAAUAAUGAAUGAAAUUGGAGGGAAUCUUCUUCCGUAUCAUAUCAUGGGAAAUGGAGAGCUUCAUCAGAUUAGUAAGAGGCUUCCGAAGACCGUAGAUGAACUGCUAGAAAUCAACGGCAUUGGGAAGGUUAAGAGCAAUAAGUACGGUGCUCGAAUUCUCGAGGUGGUCGAUCAAGUGGUACGCGAGCACUCGAGUUCGGACAAAACUCGGAACAAGGUAUCCGCGGCGUCAAUGCCGAAGCGGCAAAGGGAUGCUCCAGACUCGGAGUGGAAAACCACGCGCUCGCCAAUCAACUUAGACGAGUUCGCGGAGGAGGAGGACAAGCCGGCAAAGCCAAAGCAGGGAAAGAAGCCUCGAAAGACAUCAAAGCAGCCCUUCCAGAUAUCGGACUCCGAGUCCCCCGACUCUGGAGCAAGCUUCGUCUCUGCGGAGCAGUGACUUAACUUUGGCUUGGAAGAUCUCAAGCAACUCAACUGACAAACUUGCAAGAUCACACGAUGUUCUCUCGGCAACUUACGACGCGAGGAUUAGUUUUUGCGAGUUAAAAAGCAUGAUCGCCGACCUCAUUAUCGUGACGCGGUGAAGGAAAGAACCAAGAAACAUUCUUUUCGGGGGCGGGGGUCCUUUUCCAGCUGUGCUGGCCUCCAAACGGCGGGAAAACGAAUAUGCUUUGGCAUUUGCGGCGCGCCGUGCGAUCAGGGGAGAUCGGGGCCGUUGACUACUAAAGCUGACUAGGACAGCUAGCACGCCAGGUCAGCUUUUUUGUCCCGCCAUUCACAUGAAUGGAGGCUGGUCUCUUUCCUCUUAGUCCGAUAAUCCCCAUUAGUAAUGAUUAAUCACGGCUGGGCAUCCAGAGCUUUUUCCUCGUGCCCACCGCGAGGAAAAAGGUAUCCAUGCCUCAAAUCGGUGGCA
Molecule: RNA transcript, 3891 nt
Organism: Selaginella moellendorffii
Lineage: Eukaryota; Viridiplantae; Streptophyta; Lycopodiopsida; Selaginellales; Selaginellaceae
Gene name: ATP-dependent DNA helicase Q-like 4A
Exons: 24
Source: RefSeq, a predicted model, not a curated record